Molecule: unclassified non-coding RNA, 284 nt
Filed under: Hevea brasiliensis (rubber tree)
Lineage: Eukaryota; Viridiplantae; Streptophyta; Magnoliopsida; Malpighiales; Euphorbiaceae
Source: RNAcentral
AUCAUAUCAAAAAGUCGCUUCCUGCAUCACAAUCAAGAAGAUUUGUAAUGAAUUAUGUAAAGGUCUCGUGCUGCUACAUUAUAGAACUUAACUAAGCAUUAAAAUGAGGCAGCUGGUUUAUUUUUUAUGUUUUAUCCACACUGAAGAUAUAGAUGGUUUUCCAGAAAAGCAACCACAAUUAGACUAAAGUAAUAAAUCAGUUUAUCAUUGUUGAUAGCCAUGAAAUCAGCACAUCUACAAUCAUUCAACUAGUAAAUAUACCUGUCAGCUUUAUCAAAUGUAAA